UUAAGUUCAGCGGGUAGUCCUACCUGAUUUGAGGUCAGAUUUCAAAGUUGUUUUGACCGCCACUCGUCUAGACGGUCGUGGAGGGGCACAAUGUCAGGGGAACUUCUCGGAGGAGAGCGAGGUAGUUACAACGCCCAACCGAGUUCGACCCGCAGGCCCAACCGAAGCAUUUGAGGGGAGCGGCCUCACGACCGCAGUCC
This 200-nucleotide unclassified non-coding RNA is filed under the name Trechisporales sp. Its description in RNAcentral is "partial internal transcribed spacer 2". Lineage: Eukaryota; Fungi; Basidiomycota; Agaricomycetes; Trechisporales. The record is from RNAcentral.